Molecule: long non-coding RNA, 706 nt
Organism: Hippoglossus stenolepis (Pacific halibut)
Lineage: Eukaryota; Metazoa; Chordata; Actinopteri; Pleuronectiformes; Pleuronectidae
Exons: 3
Source: RefSeq, a predicted model, not a curated record
UCUUCAAUAUCUUGUCUAUUUUGAGAACUCUUAUCUAACCAGGACUCUAUUCCUGGGGUUGAUCACUAUGACUGAUGUGAAGUCAUAGUCCCAUUAUCUCUGGACCAAAGUUUGAUCUUCUUUUUUCUUUUUUUCUAUCCCGCUCUGUGAGAAGUGAAAACAAAUUCACACACAAGAAACAAGUUCACAUGUCUCCGAGACUCACUAUCCAUCACGAAAGCUAGAAACAUAAUCCUGUCCAAGGGCCACAGUAAGAAUUUGAGACCACAUAGCCACCGACAAAUUCUGAUGACCAAGGGUGACCUUAAGUCUCCAUUGACUUGCUAUAAAUGUACAGAGGAUUGUAGUGAAGGAGAAUGAGGCCGCGGACCCACACUUAGAUGUACAGAGGAUUACAAUGGUUCCUGCAUCAGGAUGUUAUCAAUGGAUCUGCUGACUGGUGGAGGAAAAGGAGCUCAGCACUGCCUCCCUGUGGAGAACAGCUGGACCACACAUCCUGGACUUUGUGGUGACAGACAGUAACAGUGUGGAUGACGUAGCAGCCACUUGACUCAUCUGCCAAUCAGAUCUCAGUCAAAAUACACGUUCUUGUGCUGACCUGAUGGGCCCGACAAAUAAGGUCCAUGUCGUGUUUGUGGAGGAACUUUGUGACGACGUCGGCGCCGAACGUGAAGGAGACGCCGCGGUCGUUCUCGCCCCAGCCCAG